RNAcentral lists this ribosomal RNA (441 nucleotides) under uncultured bacterium. RNAcentral's name for it is "partial 16S ribosomal RNA". It matches the Rfam family "Bacterial small subunit ribosomal RNA", at positions 338 to 795 of the family's 1533-position model. The record is from RNAcentral.
CCUACGGGAGGCAGCAGUGGGGGAUAUUGCACAAUGGGGGGAACCCUGAUGCAGCGACGCCGCGUGGGUGAAGGAGCGUUUCGGCGCGUAAAGCCCUAUCGGCAGGGAAGAAGGAGGACGGUACCUGACUAAGAAGCCCCGGCUAACUACGUGCCAGCAGCCGCGGUAAUACGUAGGGGGCAAGCGUUAUCCGGAUUUACUGGGUGUAAAGGGGGCGCAGACGGCAGCGCAAGCCAGGAGUGAAAGCCCAGGGCCCAACCCCGGGACUGCUCUUGGAACUGCGCGGCUGGAGUGCAGGAGGGGCAGGCGGAAUUCCUGGUGUAGCGGUGAAAUGCGUAGAUAUCAGGAGGAACACCGGUGGCGAAGGCGGCCUACUGGACUGCGACUGACGUUGAGGCCCGAAAGCGUGGGGAGCAAACAGGAUUAGAUACCCGAGUAGUC